GAGCAGCUAGCUCAGUUGGUAGAGCAUGGGACUCUUGAUCUCAGGAUCGUGAGUUUGAGCCCCACGCUAGUUG
RNAcentral lists this transfer RNA (73 nucleotides) under Pangasianodon hypophthalmus (striped catfish). It matches the Rfam family "tRNA". Rfam says of the family: Transfer RNA (tRNA) molecules are approximately 80 nucleotides in length. Their secondary structure includes four short double-helical elements and three loops (D, anti-codon, and T loops). Lineage: Eukaryota; Metazoa; Chordata; Actinopteri; Siluriformes; Pangasiidae. The record is from Rfam by way of RNAcentral.